RNAcentral lists this ribosomal RNA (635 nucleotides) under uncultured Actinomycetes bacterium. RNAcentral's name for it is "bacterial SSU rRNA". It matches the Rfam family "Bacterial small subunit ribosomal RNA", at positions 234 to 885 of the family's 1533-position model. The record is from RNAcentral. Lineage: Bacteria; Bacillati; Actinomycetota; Actinomycetes.
CGCCUGGGGAGUACGGGUGAGGUAACGGCUCACCAAGGCAUCGACGGGUAGCUGGUCUGAGAGGAUGAUCAGCCACACUGGGACUGAGACACGGCCCAGACUCCUACGGGAGGCAGCAGUGGGGAAUAUUGCACAAUGGGCGAAAGCCUGAUGCAGCAACGCCGCGUGCGGGAUGAAGGCCCUAGGGUUGUAAACCGCUUUCAGCAGGGAAGAAAAUGACGGUACCUGUAGAAGAAGGUGCGGCCAACUACGUGCCAGCAGCCGCGGUGACACGUAGGCACCAAGCGUUGUCCGGAUUUAUUGGGCGUAAAGAGCUCGUAGGCGGUUCAGUAAGUCGGGUGUGAAAACUCUGGGCUCAACCCAGAGACGCCACCCGAUACUGCUGUGACUAGAGUGCGGUAGGGGAGCGGGGAAUUCCUAGUGUAGUGGUGAAAUGCGCAGAUAUUAGGAGGAACACCAGUGGCGAAGGCGCCGCUCUGGGCCGUAACUGACGCUGAGGAGCGAAAGCGUGGGUAGCAAACAGGAUUAGAUACCCUGGUAGUCCACGCCGUAAACGUUGGGCACUAGGUGUGGGUCUCAACCAACGAGAUCCGCGCCGUCACUAACGCAUUAAGUGCCCCGCCUGGGGAGUACGG